CGCGCAAAAGGGGAGCUAAGGCAAAAAAGAGAUCAGAUCAUAAGACCCUCGUAUCCCUUGGGAGAAAAACGGCGCAACACUCAGGCCCCUCCCUUCUUCUUUCUUCUUCUUCAUUUUUCCAAAGAUACACACAGAUAUCCCCUCAAAAAACGAAAAAGCAGCCUUUCCUUCAUGAUAUCCAAAAUUAGAUACCCUUCCCAUUAGAGACCAGGCGUCGUUUCCUUGAAAAAACAGAGAGAGAACAGAACUCCAUCUCCAACACCUUCAGUUGCCUCAACAGCCGUCUCCCUCGUUUUCUGCUUCGCUUCUGUCGUCGGCGAACUCACCAGAAACAUAAGAGUUGCGGUGCACUCCCCCUUCCAUCUCUCACCUUCUCACGAAUUUUCUAAGUUCAAAAGGGAUUCUCAAAUCUGAAAAUUUCAAAAAAAAAAAAAGAAGAAGAAGCUGUGGUUGAAAAAUUAUUGCUGCUCUUUGUUCGGAUCUGCCGGUCUGCUGUCAGAGUUUUCAGGAGAAAAUUUUAAUUUCCUUAUGAGCUGACUCUGCCCAAAUCCAUAGACUCGUUAUGUGUAUUUUUGACUUGUAUUCACUUUCUCUGUUAAGUUCUGGAAUUAUUAUUUUAGAUUUGUUCUGAUUUUGGAUUUAACAUGUCUAAGUAUAAAUUUGUCCGAAAUUCUUUUCU
This is a non-coding RNA of Nicotiana tabacum (common tobacco), 679 nucleotides long. Lineage: Eukaryota; Viridiplantae; Streptophyta; Magnoliopsida; Solanales; Solanaceae. The record is from RefSeq and is a predicted model, not a curated record.